CAUAAUUGCUAUUAUAUGAUGAGUUUGAUGCCGUUUCGAUUUUGUUCGCAGCGUGAAUGCGAUCGAGCCUUGGAUCAUCGUUAGUUGACUUGUGAGAGCUCUUGGAGACUUAUUUUGAGCAGGGUUGGAGCCGACUUUUUUCGACUUCUUGUGAUUAUUGGGAGCAUAGUACUAGAGCCAUCUACAGGAGAGGCUAGGGAUCGUGGCAA
Long non-coding RNA from Ananas comosus (pineapple), 209 nucleotides. RefSeq lists it as uncharacterized. The transcript is spliced from 3 exons. The record is from RefSeq and is a predicted model, not a curated record. NCBI's taxonomy places the organism in Eukaryota, Viridiplantae, Streptophyta, Magnoliopsida, Poales, Bromeliaceae.